GUUAACCUUUUUGGUCCUCUUUGGUGCUCUUAUGGAAGAGAGAUGGUCCUAUGUCAAUCUUUUUUGUGAUCCUAGAUAGAUCCAUAGAGGUCCUUUUCUUGUGCAAGUUCAGCCAGCGUCAAUUUCCCUACCAUUGUUUAUACUGUCAAUUGGUUGCCUUCAGAAGAUGAGAAGAAAGAGAAAAGGGAGUCUCUCUCGGUGGAGGGAUUGGAAGCAUCUUAGACAUUUUAGAUGCAUCACAAAUGAUCUGAUUUGGCAUACCUAUGGUUAUUGUCAAAUGAAUGUUAAUAUGAAUAGUUAUGCUUCUAACUUAGGAUCCAAACCAUGCUGCUUGACAGCUUGUGUGACCGGUGCUCACUCUAUUGGUGAUGCUACAUGGAUGAUUCAAUUUGGAGAUGCCGAUGUGUGAUGGCGGAUGGUGGAACAGAGUCCAGUAUCGAUGCUUUCUCUAUAGUUGGAUUUUCUAGGCAAUUAUGUUCUUGGUGCUUUGUUUUAUUUAUCUUUGAAAAUAGUAGUCUGUAUACUUUGGUGACUAUAAAUGGCUUGAAUGCUUUCAGUAACCGUAAUCAGGAGCAACUGUUAAGUGUGAGGAUUGUAGGAAGCCAUAGAGAAUCCACUUUUAUGUUCACAAACAAACAUGUCUCAUAAAUAGCCUAUGCAGACCUGGUCACCUGCAUAUUUGUUGCCCACUGUUUCAUGAUUGAUAUGUAGCUCCAUUUCUUAUUA
This is a long non-coding RNA of Panicum virgatum (switchgrass), 726 nucleotides long. RefSeq lists it as uncharacterized. The record is from RefSeq and is a predicted model, not a curated record. The transcript is spliced from 2 exons. Lineage: Eukaryota; Viridiplantae; Streptophyta; Magnoliopsida; Poales; Poaceae.